UGAAUACGAGACGCUAAGGCGUCGAAGUAGUGUAUGUCAUACUUCCAAGAAAAGCUUGCACUGUCAUAGAUAAAAAACGCCUGUACCAUAACCGACACAGGUGGGUAGGUAGAGUAUACUAAGGGGCGCGAGAUAACUCUCUCUAAGGAACUCGGCAAAAUAACUCCGUAACUUCGGGAGAAGGAGUGCCUUAUUCUUAAGGUUGCAAUAACAAGAUCCAAGCAACUGUUUAUCAAAAACACAGGUCUCCGCUAAGUCGUAAGACGAUGUAUGGGGGCUGACGCCUGCCCAAUGCCAGAAGGUUAAAGAAGCUGGUUAGCAUUUGCGAAGCUAGUAACUGAAGCCCUGGUGAACGGCGGCCGUAACUAUAACGGUCCUAAGGUAGCGAAAUUCCUUGUCGGGUAAGUUCCGACCCGCACGAAAGGCGUAAUGAUUUGGAUACUGUCUCGGAGAGGGGCUCGGUGAAAUAGACUUGUCUGUGAAGAUGCGGACUACCUGCACCAGGACAGAAAGACCCUAUGAAGCUUUACUGUAACUUGAAAUUGAAAUUGGACUUUAUUCGCGCAGUAUAGGUGGGAGGCGUUGAUUAUAAUCUUGCGGGAUUAUUGGAGCCAUUAGUGAGAUACCACUCUUGUAAUGUUAGAUUUCUAACUUUGAAUCAUUAUCUGGUCAAAGAACAGUUUCAGGCGGGCAGUUUGACUGGGGCGGUCGCCUCCUAAACGGUAACGGAGGCGUACAAAGGUUUCCUCUGAACGGUUAGAAAUCGUAUCUAGAGUGUAAAGGCAUAAGGAAGCUUGACUGUGAGACCUACAAGUCGAGCAGGGACGAAAGUCGGUCUUAGUGAUCUGACGGUACUGAGUGGAAAGGCCGUCACUCAACGGAUAAAAGUUACUCUAGGAUAACAGGCUGAUCUCCCCCAAGAGUUCACAUCGACGGGGAGGUUUGGCACCUCGAUGUCGGCUCAUCGCAUCCUGGGGCGGUAGUACGUCCCAAGGGUUGGGCUGUUCGCCCAUGAAAGCGGUACGCGAGCUGGGUUCAGAACGUCGUGAGACAGUUCGGUCCAUAUCCGGUGUAGGCGUUAGAAUAUUGAGAGGAGCCUUCUUUAGUACGAGAGGACCGAGAAGGACAUACCUCUGGUGUACCAGUUAUCGUGCCAACGGUAAACGCUGGGUAGCUAUGUAUGGAGUGGAUAACCGCUGAAAGCAUCUAAGUGGGAAGCCCACCUCAAGAUAAG
RNAcentral lists this ribosomal RNA (1234 nucleotides) under metagenome. Its description in RNAcentral is "bacterial LSU rRNA". It matches the Rfam family "Bacterial large subunit ribosomal RNA", at positions 1564 to 2808 of the family's 2925-position model. The record is from RNAcentral.